CGGCGAGUGAAGCGGGAACAGCUCAAAUUUGAAAUCUGGCCCUUGGGUCCGAGUUGUAAUUUGUAGAGGAUGCUUUUGGUGCGGUGCCUUCCGAGUUCCCUGGAACGGGACGCCUUAGAGGGUGAGAGCCCCGUACGGUUGGACGCCUAGCCUCUGUAAAGCUCCUUCGACGAGUCGAGUAGUUUGGGAAUGCUGCUCUAAAUGGGAGGUAUAUUUCUUCUAAAGCUAAAUACUGGCCAGAGACCGAUAGCGCACAAGUAGAGUGAUCGAAAGAUGAAAAGCACUUUGAAAAGAGGGUUAAAUAGCACGUGAAAUUGUUGAAAGGGAAGCGUUUAUGACCAGACUUUUUCUAGGGGGAUCAUCCGGUGUUCUCACCGGUGCACUUCCCCUAGUUGAGGCCAGCAUCGGUUUCCGGAGGGGGAUAAAAGCUUCGGGAAUGUGACUCCCUCGGGAGUGUUAUAGCCCGUUGCAUAAUACCCUUCUGGGGACCGAGGUUCGCGCAUCUGCAAGGAUGCUGGCAUAAUGGUCAUCAACGACCCGUCUUGAAACACGGACCAAGGAGUCGAACAUUUAUGCGAGUGUUUGGGUGUUAAACCCUCACGCGUAAUGAAAGUGAACGGAGGUGAGAGCCCUUACGGGUGCAUCAUCGACCGAUCCUGAUGUCUUCGGAUGGAUUUGAGUAAGAGCAUAACUGUUCGGACCCGAAAGAUGGUGAACUAUGCGUGGAUAGGGUGAAGCCAGGAGAAAUCCUGGUGGAGGCUCGCAGCGGUUCUGACGUGCAAAUCGAUCGUCAAAUCUGCGCAUGGGGGCGAAAG
This 815-nucleotide ribosomal RNA is filed under the name fungal sp. BG105. RNAcentral's name for it is "eukaryotic LSU rRNA". It matches the Rfam family "Eukaryotic large subunit ribosomal RNA", at positions 87 to 929 of the family's 3401-position model. Lineage: Eukaryota; Fungi. The record is from RNAcentral.